Molecule: ribosomal RNA, 468 nt
Filed under: uncultured bacterium
Lineage: Bacteria
Description: partial 16S ribosomal RNA
Rfam family: Bacterial small subunit ribosomal RNA
Source: RNAcentral
GACGAACGCUGGCGGCGUGCUUAACACAUGCAAGUCGAACGGAAAGGCCCUGCUUUUGUGGGGUGCUCGAGUGGCGAACGGGUGAGUAACACGUGAGUAACCUGCCCUUGACUUUGGGAUAACUUCAGGAAACUGGGGCUAAUACCGGAUAAGAGCUCCUGCUGCAUGGUGGGGGUUGGAAAGUUUCGGCGGUUGGGGAUGGACUCGCGGCUUAUCAGCUUGUUGGUGGGGUAGUGGCUUACCAAGGCUUUGACGGGUAGCCGGCCUGAGAGGGUGAACGGGCACAGUGGGACAGAGAUACGGCCCAGAGUCGUACGGGAUGCAGCAGUGGGGAAUAUUGCGCAAUGGGCGGAAGUCAGGUGCAGCAACGCCGCGUGCGGGAUGACGGCCUUCGGGUUGUAAACCGCUUUCGCCUGUGACGAAGCGGGAGUGACGGUAAUGGGUAAAGAAGCACCGGCUAACUACGUG